RNAcentral lists this small RNA (66 nucleotides) under Ureibacillus manganicus DSM 26584. RNAcentral's name for it is "Lysinibacillus manganicus DSM 26584 Bacillaceae-1 RNA". It matches the Rfam family "Bacillaceae-1 RNA". Lineage: Bacteria; Bacillati; Bacillota; Bacilli; Caryophanales; Caryophanaceae. The record is from Rfam by way of RNAcentral.
CAUGACCAACGGCAGUCAAAAGCGCAACGUCCUGUUGCAUUGACUGCAUGACCGACGUCGUGUCGG